Molecule: ribosomal RNA, 1245 nt
Filed under: Bacteroides uniformis
Lineage: Bacteria; Pseudomonadati; Bacteroidota; Bacteroidia; Bacteroidales; Bacteroidaceae
Description: bacterial LSU rRNA
Rfam family: Bacterial large subunit ribosomal RNA
Source: RNAcentral
ACAAAAAGUAAGUAAGGGCACAUGGCGGAUGCCUUGGCUCUCGGAGGCGAUGAAGGACGUGAUAAGCUGCGAUAAGCUGCGGGUAGGUGCAAAUGACCUUUGAUCCGCGGAUUUCCGAAUGGGACAACCCGGUACUUUGAAGAAGUAUCAUCCUGCAUUGCAGGAGGCUAACGCAGGGAACUGAAACAUCUUAGUACCUGCAGGAAAAGAAAAUAAACAAUGAUUCCCCCAGUAGUGGCGAGCGAACGGGGAACAGCCCAAACCAUCCAUGUUACGGCAUGGGUGGGGUUGUAGGACCACGCCGUGGCAAGAAAGUUGGUGAGCAGAAUGUUCUGGAAAGUACAGCCAUAGAGCAUGAGAGCUGCGUAUGCGAAGCCGACCGAAGCCUAGUGGUAUCCUGAGUAGCGCGGAGCACGAGGAAUUCUGCGUGAAUCUGCCGGGACCAUCCGGUAAGGCUAAAUACUCCCGAGAGACCGAUAGUGAACCAGUACUGUGAAGGAAAGGUGAAAAGCACUUCGAACAGAAGAGUGAAAUAGUUCCUGAAACCAUGUGCCUACAAGCGGUCGGAGCACCUUCUGGUGUGACGGCGUGCCUUUUGCAUAAUGAACCUACGAGUUACUUUUUCCGGCGAGGUUAAGGAUUUCAGAUCUGCAGCCGAAGCGAAAGCGAGUCUGAACAGGGCGUAUAGUCGGAAGGAGUAGACGCGAAACCAAGUGAUCUACCCUUGGGCAGGUUGAAGGAUGGGUAACACCAUCUGGAGGACCGAACCAAUAAGCGUUGAAAAGCUUCUGGAUGACCUGAGGGUGGGGGUGAAAGGCUAAUCAAACUUGGAGAUAGCUCGUACUCCCCGAAAUGCAUUUAGGUGCAGCCUUGACUUAUACUGGCAUGAGGUAGAGCGACUGAUAAGAUGCGAGGGCUUCACCGCCUAUCAAGUCUUGACAAACUCCGAAUGCGUGUCAGUUCUAUGUCAGGAGUGAGGGCAUGGGUGCUAAGGUCCAUGUCCUAAAGGAGAACAAUCCGGACCAACAGCUAAGGUCCCGAAAUGAAUACUAAGUUGAACUAACGAAGUCAGAUUGCUAAGACAGCUAGGAUGUUGGCUUGGAAGCAGCCAUUCAUUUAAAGAGUGCGUAACAGCUCACUAGUCGAGGAGUUUGGCGUGGAUAAUAAUCGGGCAUAAGUAUUCUACCGAAGCUUUGGGAUGAGAAAUCAUCGGUAGGGGAGCAUUCCACUCUGCGUCGAAGGUGA